Molecule: unclassified non-coding RNA, 855 nt
Filed under: Hevea brasiliensis (rubber tree)
Lineage: Eukaryota; Viridiplantae; Streptophyta; Magnoliopsida; Malpighiales; Euphorbiaceae
Source: RNAcentral
CAUGAUGAUAAUUUUAGCAUACAUAAGAAAUAUUCAUGUCUGCAUGGUAUGGAUCUAGAUACCAAUGCCCUGAAUGGAUUAAUCCCCAAUGUGUCCAUGUUUGUAAAUGUAAUGACAAGGAACCCAGAAUACACUUAUUUACACACAGGGACACAACAACCAGAUGCAGAGAGCUGCUGGAAACAUCAUGUACAAGUUCGAGUACGAAGGUAAAUGGAUAUAAGGCUGCUAUGGGUCCGGUUUACCAACCAUCCCCUCGUCACUGGAAUCGUCCUCAUCCUCGCUCAGCUCUUCGUCAUCGCUUGAUUUCUCCUCUUGGGCGCCAAUGUCUUCGGGUUUCGCAUAUUUUUCACAGUAUUCUUUCACUUUUUGUUCGUACGCAGGUCGAUCACGCAUCAUCAGCGCUGCAGCCUCCCCAUUUAACGGAUCGGAAGGAUUAGGAUAAAGAAGCAGUUGUGGAAGGAAAACUUCGAAAACAUUGACAAGAUCAAACAUUGGACUCCAAGUCUGGUUGAUGACAUCCAAACAAACCGAACCAGACAUUUCAUCAACAUUCGGAUGAUAUAUCUUAUUCAGAAAUCCAAUGGAUGGGGAUUUAUAAGGAUAAGCAUCAGGUAACUCCACCCUGACUCUCCAAACUCCCCCUGUAUACAGACUAUCCACCGGCCCGUUGAAAUCAACAUAAAACUCCUGCAUCCCAUCGUUGAUCAUCUCCACCUUGUAAUCGCUCAUCAUCAGUUUCAUCAAGUCCAUCUCGCGGCGCUUGCUCGGGGACGACAUGGCCGGAUUGAGUGCUCGGCAGCUCCUCUGUGGGUUGAGGGGGCGGUGAGAAAGAAAUGGGGGAGAAGACAAGAU